UUCCUACGGGAGGCAGCAGUGGGGAAUAUUGCACAAUGGGGGAAACCCUGAUGCAGCGACGCCGCGUGAGUGAAGAAGUAUCUCGGUACGUAAAGCUCUAUCAGCAGGGAAGAAAAUGACGGUACCUGACUAAGAAGCCCCGGCUAACUACGUGCCAGCAGCCGCGGUAAUACGGAGGAUGCGAGCGUUAUCCGGAUUUAUUGGGUUUAAAGGGUGCGUAGGCGGUCUGUUAAGUCAGCGGUAAAAUUGCGGGGCUCAACCCCGUCGAGCCGUUGAAACUGGCAGACUUGAGUUGGC
This 297-nucleotide ribosomal RNA is filed under the name uncultured bacterium. RNAcentral describes it as "partial 16S ribosomal RNA". It matches the Rfam family "Bacterial small subunit ribosomal RNA", at positions 336 to 651 of the family's 1533-position model. The record is from RNAcentral.